UAACGGCGAGUGAAGCGGCAACAGCUCAAAUUUGAAAUCUGGCCCCAGGCCCGAGUUGUAAUUUGCAGAGGAUGCUUUUGGCGCGGUGCCUUCCGAGUUCCCUGGAACGGGACGCCAUAGAGGGUGAGAGCCCCGUACGGUUGGACACCAAGCCUUUGUAAAGCUCCUUCGACGAGUCGAGUAGUUUGGGAAUGCUGCUCUAAAUGGGAGGUACAUUUCUUCUAAAGCUAAAUAUUGGCCAGAGACCGAUAGCGCACAAGUAGAGUGAUCGAAAGAUGAAAAGCACUUUGAAAAGAGGGUUAAACAGCACGUGAAAUUGUUAAAAGGGAAGCGCUUGUGACCAGACUUGCGUCCGGUGAAUCACCCAGCUCUCGCGGCUGGGGCACUUCGCCGGCACAGGCCAGCAUCAGCUUGCCGUCGGGGACAAAAGCUUCAGGAACGUGGCUCCUCUCGGGGAGUGUUAUAGCCUGUUGCAUAAUACCCUUCGGCGGGCUGAGGUACGCGCUCCGCAAGGAUGCUGGCGUAAUGGUCAUCAGCGACCCGUCUUGAAACACGGACCAAGGAGUCAACCUUAUGUGCGAGUGUUUGGGUGUUAAACCCCUACGCGUAAUGAAAGUGAACGCAGGUGAGAGCUUCGGCGCAUCAUCGACCGAUCCUGAUGUUCUCGGAUGGAUUUGAGUAAGAGCAUAUAGGGUUGGACCCGAAAGAAGGUGAACUAUGCGUGUGUAGGGUGAAGCCAGAGGAAACUCUGGUGGAGGCUCGCAGCGGUUCUGACGUGCAAAUCGAUCGUCAAACAUGCGCA
This 802-nucleotide ribosomal RNA is filed under the name Colletotrichum abscissum. RNAcentral describes it as "eukaryotic LSU rRNA". It matches the Rfam family "Eukaryotic large subunit ribosomal RNA", at positions 84 to 917 of the family's 3401-position model. The record is from RNAcentral. Lineage: Eukaryota; Fungi; Ascomycota; Sordariomycetes; Glomerellales; Glomerellaceae.